This 695-nucleotide ribosomal RNA is filed under the name Candidatus Hamiltonella defensa (Bemisia tabaci). Its description in RNAcentral is "bacterial SSU rRNA". It matches the Rfam family "Bacterial small subunit ribosomal RNA", at positions 129 to 819 of the family's 1533-position model. Lineage: Bacteria; Pseudomonadati; Pseudomonadota; Gammaproteobacteria; Enterobacterales; Enterobacteriaceae. The record is from RNAcentral.
GCCGACGGAGGGGGAUAACUGCUGGAAACGGCAGCUAAUACCGCAUGAAGUCGUGAGACCAAAGUGGGGGACCUUCGGGCCUCACGCCGUCGGAUGAGCCCAGAUGAGAUUAGCUGGUAGGUAGGGUAAAGGCUUACCUAGGCGACGAUCUCUAGCGGGUCUGAGAGGAUAGCCCGCCACACUGGAACUGAGACACGGUCCAGACUCCUACGGGAGGCAGCAGUGGGGAAUAUUGCACAAUGGGCGAAAGCCUGAUGCAGCCAUGCCACGUGUGUGAAGAAGGCCUUCGGGUUGUAAAGCACUUUCAGUGAGGAGGAAGCGAUAAAUGCCAAUACCAUUUAUUUUUGACGUUACUCGCAGAAGAAGCACCGGCUAACUCCGUGCCAGCAGCCGCGGUAAUACGGAGGGUGCGAGCGUUAAUCGGAAUAACUGGGCGUAAAGGGCAUGUAGGCGGUGAGUUAAGUCAGAUGUGAAAUCCCCGAGCUCAACUUGGGAAUGGCAUUUGAAACUGGGUCGCUAGAGUUUUCUAGAGGGGGGUAGAAUUCCAGGUGUAGCGGUGAAAUGCGUAGAUAUCUGGAGGAAUACCGGUGGCGAAGGCGGCCCCCUGGAGAAAGACUGACGCUGAUGUGCGAAAGCGUGGGGAGCAAACAGGAUUAGAUACCCUGGUAGUCCACGCUGUAAACGAUGUCGAUUUG